UACAGAGGGUGCAAGCGUUGUUCGGAAUUACUGGGCGUAAAGAGUGUGUAGGCGGUGCUCUAAGUUCGGUGUGAAAUCUCCUGGCUUAACUGGGAGGGUGCGCCGGAAACUGGAAUGCUCGAGCGUGGGAGAGGAAAGCGGAAUUCCUGGUGUAGCGGUGAAAUGCGUAGAUAUCAGGAGGAACACCUGCGGUGUAGACGGCUUUCUGGACCAUUGCUGACGCUGAGACACGAAAGCGUGGGUAGCAAACAGG
This 253-nucleotide ribosomal RNA is filed under the name uncultured bacterium. RNAcentral describes it as "partial 16S ribosomal RNA". It matches the Rfam family "Bacterial small subunit ribosomal RNA", at positions 524 to 776 of the family's 1533-position model. The record is from RNAcentral.